GUUGUCGUCAGCUCGUGCCGUGAGAUGUUGGGUUAAGUCCCGUAACGAGCGCAACCCUUGUCCUUAGUUACCAGCACGUUAUGGUGGGCACUCUAAGGAGACUGCCGGUGACAAACCGGAGGAAGGUGGGGAUGACGUCAAGUCAUCAUGGCCCUUACGGCCUGGGCUACACACGUGCUACAAUGGUCGGUACAAAGGGUUGCCAAGCCGCGAGGUGGAGCUAAUCCCAUAAAACCGAUCGUAGUCCGGAUCGCAGUCUGCAACUCGACUGCGUGAAGUCGGAAUCGCUAGUAAUCGUGAAUCAGAAUGUCACGGUGAAUACGUUCCCGGGCCUU
RNAcentral lists this ribosomal RNA (335 nucleotides) under uncultured Pseudomonas sp. RNAcentral describes it as "bacterial SSU rRNA". It matches the Rfam family "Bacterial small subunit ribosomal RNA", at positions 1048 to 1382 of the family's 1533-position model. The record is from RNAcentral. Lineage: Bacteria; Pseudomonadati; Pseudomonadota; Gammaproteobacteria; Pseudomonadales; Pseudomonadaceae.